RNAcentral lists this ribosomal RNA (659 nucleotides) under Bryophyta environmental sample. RNAcentral's name for it is "eukaryotic LSU rRNA". The stretch from base 221 to 374 matches the Rfam family "5.8S ribosomal RNA". The record is from RNAcentral. Lineage: Eukaryota; Viridiplantae; Streptophyta.
AGGGAUCAUUGAAUUAUUAAAACCACAAUGUGAACCUCAACGUCCCGUGCCUUGGCUUGCCAGUGGGGCGUUCGGCUUAAAACCCGUUCGCAUCUCACAGCUGGGCGGGCAUUGCUGCCUGCUCAGUGGCGCCUUGGCAUGACUAUACACCAGUGCUAACCACUGAUAAACCAAACUCUGAAGUUGUGAUUGCUAGUAACUGGCAAUCUUAACCAAAGACAACUCUCAACAACGGAUAUCUUGGCUCUCGCAACGAUGAAGAACGCAGCGAAAUGCGAUACGUAGUGUGAAUUGCAGAAUUCCGUGAACCAUCGAAUCUUUGAACGCAUAUUGCGCUCGAGCCCUCGGGCAAGGGCAUGUCUGCCUCAGCGUCGGUUUACACCCUCACCCCUCCCAACUUGUUGGGUGUGUCGGCUUCUCUAGCUGGCCAUUGGGGUGGAUCUGGCUUCCCCAAUCUGCUUUACUGCGGAUUGGGCUGGCUGAAGUGCAGAGGCUCAAGCAAGGACCCGAUAUGGGCUUCAACUGGAUAGGUAGCACCGGCUUCUGCCGACUACACGAAGUUGUUGCUUGUGGAUCUUGCUAGGAGCCAAGCAGGAACGUGUCUUUGGCAUGUCUAAACUUUCGACCUGAGCUCAGGCAAGAUUACCCGCUGAACUUAA